AGCCAGUAGGGCACUUGUAUUACUGUCUCUCUGGGCCAUGACUCACCAGCCCCAAUGAUAACAAUCCUUAGACCUUUGACAUGUUUUCAGGAUGCUUUUCUCUAUUGGUUCCACAAAGGAAGCCCUAAGACGUUGUCCAGCUUCUAAUUCUGCAAAGAACAGCUGGAAAACAUGAGGGCCGACUCAACAGCUGUGUGUUGGGAAUCAGGAGGCAUCCAGGACGAAGAUACCAUCUGGCUACAGCUGCUACCAAAAUGAGAAGCCAAUCCUCAGGCAAAGAGAAGCUUGAAGGAACUGGGAAAGUUGUUCCCGCACCUCCCCAACCCCACCGCCCAGUAGGAUCAUUCCAAGCUCCUGGAGACAGAGAGUUUCUUUCAUGUGACAAUGGAAGCCAGACGACAGACUCAGCUGGAUACUGACAGCCCUUCCUCCCUGGAAAGCCCCAGAACCUCUUUCAGUAGAAAACAACCACAAUAUUUCCAGCAGAUUCCAAAGAAAAUCCUGCCACUGCUUUGGCAUUGACCAAAAAUGUCACAUUCUAUCUAUAAAACCAAAGGCUUUCUUCCAACAAAUAGUUCCAAGAUGAAAGGGAGCCUUUUAUUUUUGCUGAUCUGCUCUGUCUUCUUGUUUUGGCUUGUUUAUAAACGUAGGCUUAACUGUAGACACCACAAUUUAUUAAUGCAUUUAACUAAAAACCAACUAUUUGUUAGGUACUAUGUUGGUCCAACAAUCAAAAAACAUUAACAAACAUAUUUAUAGGGAUUGCUAAUUGCCAAGUAUUAUUCCAAGUGACUAAACCAUGCUAACUUGUGCAGUCCUCAUAACAACCCCAAGAAGAAGGUACUGUCACUAUGCCUGUUUUACAGAUGGGGAAACUGAGGUCCAGAGCAAUUAAUUCAUUUGACCAAGUAAUAAGAGCCAGGAUUCUAACCAAGGCUCUGGCUUGGAGUUGUUGCUCAAGAUUACUUCACCAUGUUGCCUCCCCUUGCAGCCAGUGCCUGCUUACAAAGAAGUUCUAGAUUCAUGGGGAAGACAACGAAGAAGCAAGAAACAACACAUUAGAAUUGAGUUGUUUUGUACACUGCUGUAUCCCCAACACCUAAAACAGUACCCAGUGCAUAAGUAGGGACUGCAUGAUUAUUUGUGGAAUGUUGUUGCAAUAAAUACUGUGAAGUAAGCUGAUUGGAUGAGAUGAUAGAGUCUCAAGGGAACCUACUUAAUUCAGAUGCAGUGGUGAGGGAGGGCCUCUCUGACAGAUAACAUUUAAGCUAAGACCUAAAGGAUGAAAACAAGAGAACCAUAAAAAGAGUGUGGAAGAGCAUUCAGGCAGAGGGACCAGUAUGGUCAGAGACUCUGAGGUCAGGGGAUCCUGGCAGAUGUGAGGAAUGGAAGGAGCCAGUGUGUGGGAGCGGGGUGUGCACAGGCAGAUGGAGAGUGAGAUGAAGCAAGUUGUGAGCAUAAGCUGGAUUAUGCAGGGUCUUGGGUCAUUAGAAUUCACUCUCAUAGGGCCGUAUAAAUGCUGUGGAAGAAGUCAAAAGGGGGCCCAUGGACCCUGAACACCAGAACCAUUCAAUCCUUUUAGAAAGACAAGGCAAGCAGA
Molecule: long non-coding RNA, 1600 nt
Organism: Piliocolobus tephrosceles (Ugandan red Colobus)
Lineage: Eukaryota; Metazoa; Chordata; Mammalia; Primates; Cercopithecidae
Exons: 4
Source: RefSeq, a predicted model, not a curated record